UUGGAGAGUUUGAUCCUGGCUCAGGACGAACGCUGGCGGCGUGCCUAAUACAUGCAAGUCGAGCGGACCAAUGAAGAGCUUGCUCUUCGGCGGUUAGCGGCGGACGGGUGAGUAACACGUAGGCAACCUGCCUGUACGACUGGGAUAACUCCGGGAAACCGGAGCUAAUACCGGAUACUUCUUUCAGACCGCAUGGUCUGAAAGGGAAAGAC
RNAcentral lists this ribosomal RNA (212 nucleotides) under Aneurinibacillus migulanus. Its description in RNAcentral is "partial 16S ribosomal RNA". It matches the Rfam family "Bacterial small subunit ribosomal RNA", at positions 1 to 208 of the family's 1533-position model. Lineage: Bacteria; Bacillati; Bacillota; Bacilli; Caryophanales; Paenibacillaceae. The record is from RNAcentral.